AACGAACGCUGGCGGCAUGCCUAACACAUGCAAGUCGAACGAAGAUAUGGCUUCGGCCAUAGACUGAGUGGCGCACGGGUGAGUAACGCGUAGGAAUUUACCUUUCGGUGGGGGACAACUGAUGGAAACGUCAGCUAAUACCGCAUACGCUCUACGGAGGAAAGAUUUAUUGCCGAAAGAUAAGCCUGCGUUAGAUUAGGUAGUUGGUGAGGUAAAGGCUCACCAAGCCGAUGAUCUAUAGCUGGUCUGAGAGGAUGAUCAGCCACACUGGGACUGAGACACGGCCCAGACUCCUACGGGAGGCAGCAGUGGGGAAUAUUGGACAAUGGGGGCAACCCUGAUCCAGCAAUGCCGCGUGAGUGAAGAAGGCCCUAGGGUUGUAAAGCUCUUUCAACUGUGAAGAUGAUGACGGUAACAGUAGAAGAAGCUCCGGCUAACUCCG
This 442-nucleotide ribosomal RNA is filed under the name uncultured Rickettsiales bacterium. RNAcentral's name for it is "bacterial SSU rRNA". It matches the Rfam family "Bacterial small subunit ribosomal RNA", at positions 29 to 505 of the family's 1533-position model. The record is from RNAcentral. Lineage: Bacteria; Pseudomonadati; Pseudomonadota; Alphaproteobacteria; Rickettsiales.